AACUGGAGGAGGGUGGGGAUGACGUCAAGUCAUCAUGGCCCUUACGACCAGGGCUACACACGUGCUACAAUGGCGCAUACAAAGAGAAGCGACCUCGCGAGAGCAAGCUGACCUCAUAAAGUGCGUCUCAGUCCGGAUUGGAGUCUGCAACUCGACUCCAUGAAGUCGGAAUCGCUAGUAAUCGUGGAUCAGAAUGCCACGGUGAAUACGUUCCCGGGCCUUGUACACACCGCCCGUCACACCAUGAGAGUGUGUUACACAAGAAGUAGGUAGCUUAACCUUCUGGAGGCCGCUUACCACGGUGUGGAUUCGAUGACUGGGGUGAAGUCGUA
This 332-nucleotide ribosomal RNA is filed under the name uncultured bacterium. Its description in RNAcentral is "bacterial SSU rRNA". It matches the Rfam family "Bacterial small subunit ribosomal RNA", at positions 1161 to 1490 of the family's 1533-position model. The record is from RNAcentral.